ACGCUCGACACCUACGGGAUGCAGCAGUUAGGAAUAUUGGGCAAUGGAGGAAACUCUGACCCAGCAACGCCGCGUGAAGGAAGAAGGUUUUCGGAUUGUAAACUUCUGAUCUAGGGGAAGAAGGAAGUGACGGUACCCUAGGAGAAAGCCACGGCUAACUACGUGCCCGCAGCCGCGGUAAUCUGAGCGGGCUGGCAAGGC
RNAcentral lists this ribosomal RNA (201 nucleotides) under uncultured bacterium. Its description in RNAcentral is "partial 16S ribosomal RNA". It matches the Rfam family "Bacterial small subunit ribosomal RNA", at positions 326 to 539 of the family's 1533-position model. The record is from RNAcentral.